UGGUCAGAAUGGAUAAAAUAAAAAACCCACGACCUUCCGCUUAGCGUGCAGAUGCCAUGACCACUAGGCCACAUGACC
This is a non-coding RNA of Cordylochernes scorpioides, 78 nucleotides long. The record is from the annotation of a GenBank genome assembly. NCBI's taxonomy places the organism in Eukaryota, Metazoa, Arthropoda, Arachnida, Pseudoscorpiones, Chernetidae.